GACAAAGUUACAGAUUAAGACCAAUACUUUAUAUUAAUGCUUCAGCUGAGCAGUAUGAAAUAGAAAUGGCAACAGAAGCAAAAAAAAAAACUUUACAACCUGCAGUCAUUUUACAACACUGACCGAAAAAGUCUUUGUAUUUCACACUAAAUCGCCGAAAUAAGACACAGAACUUGACGAAUACUUAACACCAAUGCCCCAGGCUGAUCUGUGUCUAAAGAGGAACUAAGAGCUGUAGCAGAUAUGCUAAGGCCGUGCAACACUACAGUCGAAAACUUUAUGCGGCAUUUGAUGUGGUUUUCUUGCCCUGAAUAUUGAAUGCCACAUGCUACAGUCGAGAAAUGCCGACUGCCUUGAUCCGUCCCUGCCGCUUGGUCCUUUACAAUUCAGAGCUAACGAGCCGCUGGCAUCGCUGCUGCGGCCGAGUGACAAAUGAAAAAUGAAAAUGUUUUUCAGGCAUAUUAAAAAGGAUUUGCCGUACGCCAGAUAAAUGUGCCUAGGCACAACGCAUUACUUAAAUUAAUUUUCACACACACACAAAGGCGCACACACAGGCGCAGAAAAAAAGGACAACUGCUAGACGAAAUCGGCAGCUCGGUAAAUAUUUAAAUGAGCAGAAGGACAACAGAGGGCUACAAAAUAUACAAAAGAAAAAAAAAAAAACAAAAAAAAAGAAAAUAAAACAAAUAAAUGGCCAACACGUCGAACGACGCAUUAAACAUGUGCAAA
Molecule: non-coding RNA, 729 nt
Organism: Drosophila virilis
Lineage: Eukaryota; Metazoa; Arthropoda; Insecta; Diptera; Drosophilidae
Source: RefSeq, a predicted model, not a curated record